CUGCGGUGCAUUGUAGUUGCAUUGCAUGUGUGUCUCCUAAGAGUGCAAUGUACCUGCAGUGCAACACAG
This is a non-coding RNA of Poecilia formosa (Amazon molly), 69 nucleotides long. Lineage: Eukaryota; Metazoa; Chordata; Actinopteri; Cyprinodontiformes; Poeciliidae. The record is from Rfam.